RNAcentral lists this ribosomal RNA (481 nucleotides) under uncultured bacterium. RNAcentral describes it as "bacterial SSU rRNA". It matches the Rfam family "Bacterial small subunit ribosomal RNA", at positions 501 to 981 of the family's 1533-position model. The record is from RNAcentral.
CUACGUGCCAGCAGCCGCGGUAAUACGUAGGUGGCAAGCGUUGUCCGGAAUUAUUGGGCGUAAAGCGCGCGCAGGCGGAUUGGUCAGCCUGUCUUAAAAGUUCGGGGCUUAACCCCGUGAUGGGAUGGAAACUGCCAAUCUAGAGUAUCGGAGAGGAAAGUGGAAUUCCUAGUGUAGCGGUGAAAUGCGUAGAUAUUAGGAAGAACACCAGUGGCGAAGGCGACUUUCUGGACGAAAACUGACGCUGAGGCGCGAAAGCCAGGGGAGCGAACGGGAUUAGAUACCCCGGUAGUCCACGCUGUAAACGUUGGGCACUAGGUGUGGGGGCCACCCGUGGUUUCUGCGCCGUAGCUAACGCUUUAAGUGCCCCGCCUGGGGAGUACGGCCGCAAGGCUAAAACUCAAAGGAAUUGACGGGGGCCCGCACAAGCAGCGGAGCAUGUGGUUUAAUUCGAAGCAACGCGAAGAACCUUACCAGGGCU